UGGGGCGUGGCCAAGUGGUAAGGCACCGGGUUUUGAUCCCGCUAUUCGGAGGUUCGAGUCCUUCCGUCCCAG
Molecule: transfer RNA, 72 nt
Filed under: Nuytsia floribunda
Lineage: Eukaryota; Viridiplantae; Streptophyta; Magnoliopsida; Santalales; Loranthaceae
Description: tRNA-Gln
Rfam family: tRNA
About the family: Transfer RNA (tRNA) molecules are approximately 80 nucleotides in length. Their secondary structure includes four short double-helical elements and three loops (D, anti-codon, and T loops).
Source: RNAcentral